This is a long non-coding RNA of Cyprinus carpio (common carp), 1204 nucleotides long. The record is from Ensembl. Lineage: Eukaryota; Metazoa; Chordata; Actinopteri; Cypriniformes; Cyprinidae.
GCUAACUGGCUAACAGCUAUUGCCCUUGAAUACGCCCUGUAAAGCCCAGCGUGAAGAUACAGUUACUUGUUGAAUACUCACCUGUUUGUACGAGCUAAAAGCUAUUGUCCUUGAAUACGCUCUGUAAGCCCAGCGUGAAGAUACAGUUACUUGUUGAAUACUCACCUGUUUGUACGAGCUAAAAGCUAUUGUCCUUGAAUACGCUCUGUAAGCCCAGCGUGAAGAUACAGUUACUUGUUGAAUACUUACCUGUCUGUACGAGCUAAAAGCUAUUGUCCUUGAAUACGCUCUGUAAGCCCAGCGUGAAGAUACAGUUACUUGUUGAAUACUUACCUGUCUGUACGAGCUAAAAGCUAUUGUCCUUGAAUACGCUCUGUAAGCCCAGCGUGAAGAUACAGUUACUUGUUGAAUACUUACCUCUCUGUACGAGCUAAAAGCUAUUGCCCUUGAAUACGCCCUGUAAAGCCCAGCGUGAAGAUACAGUUACUUGUUGAAUACUUACCUGUCUGUACGAGCUAAAAGCUAUUGCCCUUGAAUACGCUCUGUAAGCCCAGCGUGAAGAUACAGUCACUUGUUGAAUACUCACCUGUUUGUACGAGCUAAAAGCUACUGACCUUGAAUACGCCCUGUAAAGCCCAGUGUGAAGAUACAGCUACUUGUUGAAUACUUACCCGCCUGCACGAGUUAAAAGCCAUUGCUCUGGAACCCGCUCAGUAAGCCUAGUGUGAAGAGUCAGUCACCUUGCUCAAUAUCUAUCUGUGAUACGAGUAAAAAGUUACUCGCUUCUGAUAUACCGGUGGACAUCCAGGGGCAUGGCCUAGUUACCUUGCUACAUCCUUACCGUUGUUCCUUACCUGUGCCCUCAGGGAUUUGGGUGUUACCUUAUAUCUACCUAGGAGGUCUAUGGGAGUGGAGGAGCUGUCCAGACGCUGGAGAAGAGAAGGGCGCCACGGGAAAUCAAGCAGUUAAGGAAGGACUUAGGAUUAGUCAGGAGACUGGUGGAAGUUCUGGGAAAGGACGGAAGAGCCCUUGCCCCCCCCCUCCCCUUGUGAUUACUUACCAAAGACCUCCAGAGUUCUCAGGCCCAGUCCCCUCCUGUCAAGAGACGAAAAUCAAAGUUUUAGAUUCCCCUUUUCUCCUUUCCUAGAUUACCUUUUUAAAUAAUUUAAAUAAAGUUGUUUUAAAUUACCCUUAACUUAUCUUG